GACGAACGCUGGCGGCGUGCUUAACACAUGCAAGUCGAACGGAAAGGCCCUGCUUUUGUGGGGUGCUCGAGUGGCGAACGGGUGAGUAACACGUGAGUAACCUGCCCUUGACUUUGGGAUAACUUCAGGAAACUGGGGCUAAUACCGGAUAUGAGCUCCUGCUGCAUGGUGGGGGUUGGAAAGUUUCGGCGGUUGGGGAUGGACUCGAUGCUUAUCAGCUUGUUGGUGGGGUAGUGGCUUACCAAGGCUUUGACGGGUAGCCGGCCUGGGAGGGUGACCGGCCACAUUGGGACUGAGAUACGGCCCAGACUCGUAUGGGAGGCAGCAGUGGAGAAUAUUGCACAAUGGGCGGAAGUCUGAUGCAGAAACGCCGCGUGCGGGAUGACGGCCUUCGGGUUGUAAACCGAUUUCGACUGUGACGAAGCGUGAGUGACGGUAAUGGGUAAAGAAGCACCGGCUAACUACGUG
RNAcentral lists this ribosomal RNA (468 nucleotides) under uncultured bacterium. RNAcentral's name for it is "partial 16S ribosomal RNA". It matches the Rfam family "Bacterial small subunit ribosomal RNA", at positions 28 to 507 of the family's 1533-position model. The record is from RNAcentral.